RNAcentral lists this ribosomal RNA (497 nucleotides) under uncultured bacterium. Its description in RNAcentral is "partial 16S ribosomal RNA". It matches the Rfam family "Bacterial small subunit ribosomal RNA", at positions 28 to 507 of the family's 1533-position model. The record is from RNAcentral.
GAUGAACGCUGGCGGCGUGCCUAAUACAUGCAAGUCGAGCGAACGGACGAGAAGCUUGUUUCUCUGAUGUUAGCGGCGGACGGGUGAGUAACACGUGGAUAACCUACCUAUCAGACUGGGAUAACUUCGGGAAACCGGAGCUAAUACCGGAUAAUAUUUUGAACCGCAUGGUUCAAAUGUGAAAGACGGUCUUGCUGUCACUUAUAGAUGGAUCCGAGCUGCAUUAGCUAGUUGGUAAGGUAACGGCAUACCAAGGCAACGAUGCAUAGCCGACCUGGGAGGGUGAUCGGCCGCACUGGAGCGGGAACGCGGUCCAGGCGCCUACGGGAGGCAGCAGUAGGGUAUCUUCCGCAGUAGGCGGGAGCCUUGCGGAACGACGCCGCGUGAGUGAUGGAGAUCUUCGGAUCGUGAAACUCUGUUAUUGGGGGUAAACAUAUGUGUAAGUAGCAGUACACAUCUUGACGGUACCUAAUCAGAAAGCCACGGCUAACUACGUG